UAUGAUACUUAUCUUUUCAAAAAAAUGAAGACCUUUUUAGAUCAUAUAUCAAACUAAUUUUGUAAAUAUUCUUUUAGAAAAAAAGUAAACAUAUGAAAAGUUAUACAAUAAAUUUUUAUGAGACAAAAAGAUAUAUACAACCUAACACAAUCUAAUACAGCAAAUAUAAUACAAAAAAUGAAGACCUUUUUAGAUCAUAUAUCAAACUAAUUUUGUAAAUAUUCCUUUAAAAAAAAGUAAACAUAUGAAAAGUUAUACAAUAAAUUUUUAAGAGACAAAAAGAUAUAUACAACCUAACACAAUCUAAUACAGUAAAUAUAAUACAUAAUUUUAUUUUUGAAAAAAAUAUAUAAGGAACAAAUGAUAGAAAAAGAAAAUGUAAUAAACGUUAAAUACAACAAACAUAUUAGAUCGAAUACCAUGCAAAUAAAACGAAUUUGAAAAAGCUGAAUAAAAUUACCUAAGAAAUUUCAACGCUAUAAUAUAAAGAAUAUGUAAAUCUUUUAAAGAAUUGUUGAAAUUUAAAGAAAUGCUCGAUUUGAUGAAGAUGGCAGUGCCAAGCUCGAUGCAACACGCAAACUCAUUCUUCGUCCGUAGCACGUGCUCAAUCUUGGCCUCGGAGCCCAUGAAGGAGGAAGAGAAAGCAGAGAAGGAGAGAAAGGGACUUUUGCGUGGAUUUCUACGAUUUAUGAUUUAAAUUAGGGUUAAGAUGGGUGGAUAAUUAAUUACACGUUAUGUGCGGAGGAAAGACGAAGGAUUGAGGGUGGACCAUUAAUUAGACAUUACUGGUGGAGGAAAGACGAAGGAUUGGUUUCACAAUGUGAAGCUAAAAGUAAAAAAAAUACAAUCACGCGACAUUUCUUUUGAGUUUUAAUGUAUAAGAAGAUAUAGAUAUAGAUAUUAGGGUGCGUUUGGUUCGCAUUAUGAAAGAUUACUAGGAAUAAAAGAUAUCCGAGAAUCUUAUUCCUAUUCAUUCUAUUACUAAGAAUGUGGAAUUUCUAUGUUUGGUUCGCACGGUAAUAUUAAUUAGCCAUAUUAUUUAAUAUUACAAAAAAUAUACAAUUAAUUAAUUUAUUUAUUUAAUUAAUUUUAGAUAAUGUUACCAAAAGUUUUAACAUCUUUUUAGAAAAAAAGGAGAGAGAGUAUAAGUUAGAGAGAGAUAGCAUAAUUAAAAAAAUAGAAAGAAAAAUAGAGUCAAAAUUAGAGGGAGUGAGAGAGUUGAAAUUUUAGAAAGAGAGAGUGAGAAAGCUUAGUUUAGAGACAGAAAAAAAGUUGAAUUUUAGGGAGAAAAAUAAGUUUAGAGAGAGGUUAGAGUGUAACGAAAAAUAAUAUCAAUUAGCCGGCGGGUAGGAAGAAAGAAAGAGAUUAGACAUAUUAUGAUUAUCCCAAUUCAUUAAUAUGAGGAUAUCCACCCUUCCUCAAGGGAAUUAGAUUAGUACUUUGGGGUGAAUCUUAUUCCCAAGUGAAUCCAAUAUUACCAACUAGAUUACUUAGUGCGUUUAGGCAAACACCGUCAUAUUUUUUUAUUCACAUUGGAUUAUUAGGAAUCUUUAAAAAAUAACGCGAACCAAACGCACCCUUAAUUUUUCUCCUUCCUAGUAUCUGUUAAAUAUUUUUUAAUAUUAAAAUUUAAUAAAAAAUUUUCAAAUACUAAAAAAAUAAUAAAUUUUUAAAUAAAAAACAAAAUUAGUAUAUAAUAGCAAAUC
RNAcentral lists this long non-coding RNA (1706 nucleotides) under Ananas comosus (pineapple). RNAcentral's name for it is "long non-coding RNA (ACOM_LNC036559)". The record is from RNAcentral. Lineage: Eukaryota; Viridiplantae; Streptophyta; Magnoliopsida; Poales; Bromeliaceae.